GACGAACGCUGGCGGCGUGCUUAACACAUGCAAGUCGAACGGAAAGGCCCUGCUUGCAGGGUACUCGAGUGGCGAACGGGUGAGUAACACGUGGGUGAUCUGCCCUGCACUUCGGGAUAAGCCUGGGAAACUGGGUCUAAUACCGGAUAGGAGCCAUUUUUAGUGUGAUGGUUGGAAAGUUUUUUCGGUGUAGGAUGAGCUCGCGGCCUAUCAGCUUGUUGGUGGGGUAAUGGCCUACCAAGGCGGCGACGGGUAGCCGGCCUGAGAGGGUGGACGGCCACAUUGGGACUGAGAUACGGCCCAGACUCCUACGGGAGGCAGCAGUGGGGAAUAUUGCUCAAUGGGCGCAAGCCUGAUGCAGCGACGCCGCGUGGGGGAUGACGGCCUUCGGGUUGUAAACUCCUUUCGCUAGGGACGAAGCUUUUUGUGACGGUACCUAGAUAAGAAGCACCGGCUAACUACGUG
RNAcentral lists this ribosomal RNA (465 nucleotides) under uncultured bacterium. Its description in RNAcentral is "partial 16S ribosomal RNA". It matches the Rfam family "Bacterial small subunit ribosomal RNA", at positions 28 to 507 of the family's 1533-position model. The record is from RNAcentral.